UGGGCACAGUUAGUCCGGACCAAGUAUGGAUUUUUAAGAUCUUGGAUAUUUAUCAAAAGCCUAAAAAUUGCUAACCCAUUUGGUGUAAAAUUUAUGCUUAGGGAGAAAAAAUUUAGUUUCAAUUUUUGUGGUUGGUGGGUAAUAAUACUUCUGUUAAUGUUUGGAAUGAUCCUUCGAUCUCACAAAUUCCUUUAAGCAGGUGGCCCUCUUUUAUUGAUAC
RNAcentral lists this long non-coding RNA (220 nucleotides) under Elaeis guineensis (African oil palm). RNAcentral's name for it is "long non-coding RNA (EGUI_LNC006789)". Lineage: Eukaryota; Viridiplantae; Streptophyta; Magnoliopsida; Arecales; Arecaceae. The record is from RNAcentral.